CCCAGACUCCUACGGGAGGCAGCAGUGGGGGAUAUUGCACAAUGGGGGAAACCCUGAUGCAGCGACGCCGCGUGUGGGAAGACGGUCCUCUGGAUUGUAAACCACUGUCCCCAGGGACGAAAAUGACGGUACCUGGGGAGGAAGCUCCGGCUAACUACGUGCCAGCAGCCGCGGUAAUACGUAUGGAGCAAGCGUUAUCCGGAUUUACUGGGCGUAAAGGGAGCGUAGGCGGCCUGCCAAGUCUGAUGUGAAAUACCGGGGCUCAACCCCGGGGCUGCAUUGGAAACUGGCAGGCUGGAGUGCCGGAGAGGCAGGCGGAAUUCCUAGUGUAGCGGUGAAAUGCGUAGAUAUUAGGAGGAACACCAGUGGCGAAGGCGGCCUGCUGGACGGUGACUGACGCUGAGGCUCGAAAGCGUGGGAAGCAAACAGGAUUAGAUACCCCCGUACA
Molecule: ribosomal RNA, 448 nt
Filed under: uncultured bacterium
Lineage: Bacteria
Description: bacterial SSU rRNA
Rfam family: Bacterial small subunit ribosomal RNA
Source: RNAcentral